UAGCAGGCAAACACAACGCACCCGGGGUGGGGAGGGUGUCGUGGCAGGCAGGGAGCCGCCGGGACCGCCGCGGGUGGGAUGCCACGCUGCUGGUCCUGGUUUUUCCCUUUGGGAACCACACUAAGGUGUCUCCCAGCAUCCUGCCCCGGGCAGGGGGUCCUCCUCGCCCCGCCAGCUCUCCGCAGGAACUUCUCCCGCUGAACUGGAGGAUGCUGCAAGCUCCUGCGGACGAGCUGGAGGAGUCCUGUGGCAAAGUCAAGGCAAGCACGGAAUCAGCGUGCUCGUGCCGGGUGUCACCGCAGCUCGCUGCCUCCAGCCCAGCCUGCUGCGGCCAGUGUCACCUCCAGAACCGAACCAGGUUUAGAGCAGACUCAUCGCAGCUCUCGCUCCCGACCAGCCGAUCAUGGGUAGGUUGGGUGACGUGUGGGGUGUGGGGUCUGGGCCCUGCAGUGGGACCGAUCGUAGGGGGCAUGGGGACCCUGGGGUUUGUCCCUUCUCCCUUCUCCCACCACGUGUCUGCAGGGCUGGAGGAAAGCAGUGCUGGGAGAGCUGCUGCUGCCACCGGGCCCCUGCCCUGCCCAGCACAGGGUGCUGGGCUCUGGCCAGGAGGAGCUUUAGUGCCCACACGCCUAUCCAUCUGUAUUUUCCUUCUUAGCCAUUUUUCCGGUUGCCAUUGCAUUCUUUGUGGGACUCGCCAUAGGAGCUGUAAUUGUAGCACUGGCAAAUGAUAAGACCAUGGACUUCUCCAUAAAUGCUGAGGGUGCACGUAUCCAUGUGGGGAAAAAACAAAAGGCCUGACUCUGCACUGCAAGCAUCAGCAGCAGACACUGUGCUGUCUGUUAAAAGAACUGGUGACCAUGGCAGUGAAUAGAAGAUUUCCUUCCUUUCAAGUAGCCUGAUUCAAUGUCUUCCCCCUGCUGGAACUGGAAAGCCCCCCAGCUUCCCCUUUAACAGCAGUUGGAUUACUUUGAGCAAUAAAUGCUUUGAAAGCUUUAACA
RNAcentral lists this long non-coding RNA (998 nucleotides) under Parus major (Great Tit). RNAcentral describes it as "lncRNA (ENSPMJG00000006661.1)". Lineage: Eukaryota; Metazoa; Chordata; Aves; Passeriformes; Paridae. The record is from RNAcentral.